AUUGAACGCUGGCGGCAUGCCUUACACAUGCAAGUCGAACGGCAGCACGGGCUUCGGUCUGGUGGCGAGUGGCGAACGGGUGAGUAAUAUAUCGGAACAUACCUUGUAGUGGGGGAUAACUAUCCGAAAGGAUAGCUAAUACCGCAUACGCUCUAAGGAGGAAAGUGGGGGAUCGCAAGACCUCAUGCUAUAAGAGUGGCCGAUAUCUGAUUAGCUAGUUGGUGAGGUAAAGGCUCACCAAGGCGACGAUCAGUAGCUGGUCUGAGAGGACGACCAGCCACACUGGAACUGAGACACGGUCCAGACUCCUACGGGAGGCAGCAGUGGGGAAUUUUGGACAAUGGGGGCAACCCUGAUCCAGCAAUGCCGCGUGAGUGAAGAAGGCCUUCGGGUUGUAAAGCUCUUUUGUCAGGGAAGAAACGGUUGUGGCUAAUAUCCAUGGCUAAUGACGGUACCUGAAGAAUAAGCACCGGCUAACUACGUGCCAGCCGCCGCCGUAA
Molecule: ribosomal RNA, 500 nt
Filed under: uncultured bacterium
Lineage: Bacteria
Description: partial 16S ribosomal RNA
Rfam family: Bacterial small subunit ribosomal RNA
Source: RNAcentral